RNAcentral lists this transfer RNA (76 nucleotides) under Pseudomonadota bacterium. RNAcentral describes it as "tRNA-Phe". It matches the Rfam family "tRNA". Rfam says of the family: Transfer RNA (tRNA) molecules are approximately 80 nucleotides in length. Their secondary structure includes four short double-helical elements and three loops (D, anti-codon, and T loops). The record is from RNAcentral. RNAcentral also lists the same sequence under 4 other names. Lineage: Bacteria; Pseudomonadati; Pseudomonadota.
GCCGCGGUAGCUCAGUUGGUAGAGCAAUGGACUGAAAAUCCAUGUGUCGCCGGUUCGAUUCCGGCCUGCGGCACCA